Molecule: ribosomal RNA, 253 nt
Filed under: uncultured bacterium
Lineage: Bacteria
Description: partial 16S ribosomal RNA
Rfam family: Bacterial small subunit ribosomal RNA
Source: RNAcentral
UACGUAGGGUGCAAGCGUUAAUCGGAAUUACUGGGCGUAAAGCGUGCGCAGGCGGUGAUGUAAGACAGAUGUGAAAUCCCCGGGCUCAACCUGGGAACUGCAUUUGUGACUGCAUCGCUGGAGUACGGCAGAGGGGGAUGGAAUUCCGCGUGUAGCAGUGGAAAUGCGUAGAUAUGCGGAGGAACACCGAUGCGAAGGCAAUCCCCUGGGCCUGUACUGACGCUCAUGCACGAAAGCGUGGGGAGCAAACAGG